Molecule: long non-coding RNA, 3710 nt
Filed under: Homo sapiens (human)
Lineage: Eukaryota; Metazoa; Chordata; Mammalia; Primates; Hominidae
Description: HSALNT0305137
Source: RNAcentral
AAAAAGGCCCGCGGGCGGGCAGACGGGCGGAGUGGAGGCGGCCAGCGGCGAAGAGAGAAGCCAGCCGCGCCGCCCACGGCGUCCGCCUCCAGCGCCACGGCGUCCGCGCCCGGCCCCGGGGAGAAGAAAGAGCCUUUACGAGGCGGCGCCACUACUCACCAGGGAAAAGGGAGGGCGGAGCGGGAGACGAGGAGAUCGAGGCGACAGCGGCUGGAGCCACGGGCACACGGCCCGGGUCGGCGGCACCGGGGACAGCUCAGCGGGACUCACGACCUUCCCAGGAAGCAGCCGCGGGGGUUUCAGCGGCCGAGAAGAAGAACCACGCAGAGAGCGCCGGCAGCCAUCACUCCAGCGGAGCACCCCGCCGGCCCCUACUUAUAGCCCGCGCAGCGACCCGCGUGACCCCGCCGCGCCUCGCGCCGGCCCCGAAGCCCCGCCCCCGGCAUGACGCAGCCCUCCUCGGCCCGGCGUGCCCAGCCGGGUGAGCCCGACGGUGGCGCUCAUUGGCCCGGCCCGCUUCGGCGGCCACGCCCCCAGCGGGGAGCCGGUCCACGUGGGGCGGGACAGCCCCCUCCCUGCGGCCUCGCCCUGGAGUCUCGGCACCGUCUGGCCCCGCCGGCUGAUUACAGCCAGAGAUCGAGGGGGACCUCGCUGUCCCCCUAGAGGCCGUCAUGCGGGGUUACAGAGGCUGCGACCAAAGUCAUUCCUAGCUCCUCUCUCGGGGCUCCGGAAAGCCGUCCGCGCCUCCAGCCGCACUUUCAGCGCACGCAGGACCUGCCGCGCCCGGUGGCCACACCCGUCCCUCUGCCGGGUGACGCUGCGGGAGAUCUUGCGCCCUGGGGCUCCGGAUCCAGUUCUGGCACGUUGUUGCACCUGUGACUUGUCCUUGGCCUGGCACUGUCCCUCGCCUGGGGGAAGCGGGGGGGUGGGGGGGGGAUGCUCACGUGGUCGCUUUGCUCCCGCAGUCAUGCACUUGGGUGAAAACAGACUGAAGAGUCACGGGAACCAGCUUGUCUCCCCAGUUAUGGCGCAGAGCUGCAAGGAUGGCUGUGGGUCAUUAAUUUCUCCGUGGCUGACCUGUGUUUGUAACGCCGCAGCUGUUGCGAGGGGGAAGGACACUGCUUCGGAUUCAAAUUCUGACUCCUUGCUGCAGUGUGUCACCUUGAGCCAGUCCCAGAUCUCUGCGUUCUCACAAUUGUAAAAUGUUAACAGAGGCUGCCUACCUUGUGGCUGGAAUUAAAUGAAUUAACGUGUGUGAAUGUGACUAGAAUUCAGUACAUGUUCAGGAAAAGCUGAUUUCCGCUUUGCUGUUACCGUGAAUAUUACUGUUUUAGGGUGUAGAAAAGGGUGGAAGGGGAUGUUAUUGCAUCCUGGAAGCUUAUCCUUUUGAGGUAAAGAUUGAUUUCUGGUCCCCUGCGUGGUAUAUAGUGUAGUUUUGACAUUAUUUAGAUGUGUUAUGCACAUUUGGGUGUUGAUUAUAUGGCUUACGAUCAAGACUAACCAGUCAUGCCGUGGGAGAUUAAGGUCGUGGUCUCUUGUCAGGAUUGUAGUGAGAUUUAAAAAUUCCAGCCAGAAAUACCAGGCUUAGAAUGCUCUGAAGCCCUCCCCACAUUUUUGCCAUCUCUAGCAGGAGGGCACUGCAUAGCAGAAACAAAGACGUUGUAAAUUGUUGCUGCCUGAGUCAUUUAUAGAGGCUUAAACAACCUGAAUGUCCUCUGACCUACCUGUAACAUUUGAUGGAGUUGUAUGAGUAACUUACAAAGCUGUAGGUCCCAAGGUCGGUCUGAAAAAGAAAGUUCAUAUCCGGGAGCACUGACCCCGUAGUGUAAUCCUGGCACCUUAAAACGUACUGCUCCCUCCACCUUCACUUCAAGGUUAUGAAAACAUUGAGUAAAAGGGAUGAUCUGUUCAAAGUCCUUAGUGUUCUGCCAAUUUAAAACAGUAAUUUUCAAAGCAGUUAUUUGCAAGGAAAUUGCCUAGAACUUCUCCCAGUGUGCGGUUGUUUUGUGUGUUUGUGUGUGUGUUUUGUUUGUUUGUUUUCAGUCUGUCCACAGGCGUACUUUUAUAGGUCUGUGAUAGUAGGUAGCUCUUCAAGUUGGCAAACACCUGCUGGACAACCCCUGAGAGAUUCAUCUGAGUGAGAGAGCACUCUCCAGCCCCAUCGGAGUGGGUUUGCAGGGAAAUCAUAAGGAAGAAAUCCUUAUCUUUCCAACACUGAGAUGCUUCUGCCGAAGAGUAGAAUGGGAGUGAGGGGACACGCAAAACGGGCUGCUGCCGGAGGAAGAGGAACAGUGUUGUGGCUCAUGCCAUAUGAAUGGGCUCACUGGCCUGGCCCAGACCCUGACUGCCCACAGGAUCUUUGGUGAGUCACUGUCACUGAGCCUGUGAGCCUAGGGUCCCUCUCCAACCUCACCCUCAGAGAGGACAGAACAAGAUGACCUGUGGCAUGCUGCAGAACACCAUGUUGGGGACUGUGGGUUUAGAGUCCUCUUGGGGACAUGUCCAUCGUUCACUAAUUCGGUGGAGUUGAGCUGCUGAGAGCUAGGAAAGCUACUCUCCCCCCGGAUCCCAACCUAGCCCUGUGGAAGACCAGACAAAAGAAGGAAGCAAUGACAUUUCUGCACUUUUUAGUUCAGAGAGGCACAGUCAAGGAAAUGCAUUUGAGGUCACUGUUCGAUGUACUUGAAGUACUCAUCCUGGAAAUAGUCUACUUGGAGUAGAGGGAGCUCAAGUGGGCAUGGGAACGUUGUGGAACCAGACCAGGAACAAAGGCGGCUUCAGAGGCCGUCUGUGAGGACUUGCAUGGGAGCAGGGGCGAGAACAUCCAGGGAAGAGAAGGUAGGAGCCUUGGAGUAAAGGAGAACCAGCUCCUCUCCACCCACCAAUGCCCUCCCCAUCCCCAGAUGAAUGAGGUAAUAAUAAUACCUGUAGCUGGACAUGGUGGCUCAAGCUUGUAAUCCCAGCAUUUUGGGAGGCCAAGGCGGGUGGAUCACCUGAGGACGGGAGUUCGAGACCAGCCUAUCAACAUGGAGAAACCCUGUCUCUACUAAAAAUACAAAAAUUAGUUGGGCACGGUGGUGCAUGGCUGUAAUCCCAGCUACUUGGGAGGCUGAGGCAGGAGAAUCACUUGAACCCGGGAGGCGGAGAUUGCGGUGAGCCAAGAUCGUGCCAUUGCACUCCAGCCUGGGCAACAAGAGCAAAACUCCAUCUCAAAAUAAUAAUAAUAAUAAUAUCUGUGAUGCAGUUGAAUGCUUACUGUGUGCCAGGUACUAUUUCAGGUGCUCUGCAUGGAUUAUCUCAGGUGAUGCUCUCAAUAAAUCUCAGAUGAGGUAUUUUCCCCUUACUUUAUAGACAGAGAAACGGAGGCACAGAGAAGGAAGCGGCAGUUAAAGCUGCGAAGAACCUAACAAAUUUCAAGAUUGUAAGUGCCUUUUCCCAGGAUGCCAGCAAGUACUGAGGCAAGUAUGAUUGCCCUAGGUGCCAACUCUUAUUUGCACUUAACACAUUUACUUCCUCCUUCUUUCCCCCUCCUUUUUAUUAACUCUGUUGCUUUUACAGCCUGUAUUUUGAGCUGCAUCAAACCCUGUUGGAAUAAAAAAGGACAUUUCUAGGAGAUCAGUCUUCGAGAUUGGCCCCAGUUUCCCCAGAGUAGGAAGAGGCAGGAAGCCAGAGCACAUGUUCUCUCCAGAAAUAAAGUUGUUGCAGUGGCC